GAAUAAGAAUGCGGGUGCUGGAUGAAGUCCGGCUGAGAUGGAGACCUUGUGUGUCCGGACCGUUAAUCUGAUCCAGGUAAUGCUGGCGUAGAGAAUCCCAUUCGAAUUGUU
Molecule: non-coding RNA, 111 nt
Filed under: Saccharibacillus sacchari
Lineage: Bacteria; Bacillati; Bacillota; Bacilli; Caryophanales; Paenibacillaceae
Also listed under: 1 other name
Description: TPP sequence
Rfam family: TPP riboswitch aptamer (THI element)
About the family: Vitamin B(1) in its active form thiamin pyrophosphate (TPP) is an essential coenzyme that is synthesised by coupling of pyrimidine and thiazole moieties in bacteria. The previously detected thiamin-regulatory element, thi box was extended, resulting in a new, highly conserved RNA secondary structure, the THI element, which is widely distributed in eubacteria and also occurs in some archaea. Analysis of operon structures identified a large number of new candidate thiamin-regulated genes, mostly transporters, in various prokaryotic organisms.
Source: RNAcentral